RNAcentral lists this small RNA (145 nucleotides) under Arabidopsis thaliana (thale cress). Its description in RNAcentral is "ATSL268140". The record is from RNAcentral. Lineage: Eukaryota; Viridiplantae; Streptophyta; Magnoliopsida; Brassicales; Brassicaceae.
GAUUUGGAGUCGAAUAUGACUUGAUGUCAUGUGUAUGAUUGAGUAUAAGAACUUAAACUGCAACCGGAUCUUAAAAGCUUGAGUAGUGUUUCCUUGUUAGAAGAUACAAAGCCAAAGACUCAUACGGACUUUGAAAUCUUUAAUC